UCCGGACAUCGGAUCCCAUUGCUAGAUGGUUACAUCGAUUAGUAUAAAAAGUUAUUCCUAUACUACCGCCUUAGGUUCAAACUGUAGAGUCACAUACAUUAGAAGAUUCGAUCAAAUCUGAUGGCUGAAGAGUCCAAUUGGAUUGCGACUCUGGUGAGGAGUCUCACUAGGACUAGGACUCUGGAGGAGAGUCCCACUGGACUGGGAC
RNAcentral lists this long non-coding RNA (208 nucleotides) under Elaeis guineensis (African oil palm). RNAcentral describes it as "long non-coding RNA (EGUI_LNC080409)". The record is from RNAcentral. Lineage: Eukaryota; Viridiplantae; Streptophyta; Magnoliopsida; Arecales; Arecaceae.